This is a non-coding RNA of Aromia moschata, 101 nucleotides long. The record is from the annotation of a GenBank genome assembly. NCBI's taxonomy places the organism in Eukaryota, Metazoa, Arthropoda, Insecta, Coleoptera, Cerambycidae.
GCGGCGAUGGCUCAGUGAGCAAAGUGCCAGGUAAGAAGAUGGCAAUUUUAUUACUCCGAGAGCUACAAAUAUCGGCGCGGGUUCGAAUCCCGCUUGUGGCA